UGUGACUUAAGCACUGCAACACCAAUGGAAAAAGUGUGUGGUCCGCAAGGAGGAUUAUGUUUAAAAAUAAACCCCAUUUGGUCACAUUCCAAAAGAGUAUCUUCGUCAGCCUAUGAAUUUUUCAGAUGGCCCUCAUGUGGUU
Long non-coding RNA from Octopus sinensis (East Asian common octopus), 142 nucleotides. RefSeq lists it as uncharacterized. The transcript has 3 exons. The record is from RefSeq and is a predicted model, not a curated record. Lineage: Eukaryota; Metazoa; Mollusca; Cephalopoda; Octopoda; Octopodidae.